UUGUGUUGAAGGCCUUUUCUGCAUCUAUUGAGAUAAUCACGUAGUUUUUGUCUACCAAAGACCAAGGAUUAUAACUCUCCAACAAGCAAAAAUACAAACAGGGAGAAUGUUGUCUGUGGCACUUCCUCCCUUAUACCACCAGCUUUUAUAAUUAUUUCCCAUGAUCCCAGUGUCCUAUUGACUCUUUUUAACCCCCAAUAGCCCAAAGCUAUGGUGCCCAAACAAAGCUUCUGUUUUCCAGGAAACAGCUGAUAUUCCCAUUGUCGUAUUCCUUAUUUUUAUUCUGUAAGAGUGGGAGAGACAGUACAAGUAGGUAAAAGUUACAGGUUCUAGCAUCAGACCUGUCCUCCACUCCUGGCUGUUGCUUACUACCUGUGUGACUUGGGCAAAUCAUUUGUUAUCUCAGAGCCCUCUCCUUUAUGUGUAGAACAAUGACAGCACAGAUUACCUCAAAAGGUUGCUGUGCAGUUCAGCUGGGAUAAGCCUGGAGACAUGGGGGUGUUCAGGGACUAAGGCUGAGUGAGCGGCGCCAUAACCACUUUUUUGAAGGUUACUGGUUGGUUGAGCCAAAAGGAAAAGAGAGCUCUGAAGGAUGUCUCAGCACUUUUACAAGUUCCUACAGCUUAAUGGAAAUUCCUGGCGUGACUCAACUCUCGGUCAGUAACUCAGUUACUGGAAAGAUUUGGGAAGUUUUCUGAAGGAGGUAGAAUUUGAACUGGAUUUGGAUGUUUGGGUAGCAUCUCAGUAACAAGCUAUCAGAAUAGAGAGUGUGCUUAUAAUUUGACAGAAGUCUAUGGCGUCCAAGGCAGUAAUGUACACAGGUCUUUUAAAGUUGCAAGAUGGGUACACAAAGUUGGAAGCAGAGGAAUAAACUUGCCUGCUUGCGGAUAAUAAUACUGGAGGUUGGAACAUGAGGACAUUUUAAGGAGGAGAUGCACUCAAAUCUGGUGACUAUAGCAUCCCUGAUGGUCAAACUGCAGUGAGUUCUAAAUAACUAGAGAAGUGGCAGUACCACGUGUGGCACCAACACCAACUAUCCUGCUCUUUUAAGCACGGAACUUAAAGGAAGAGAACCCAAGUACCCUGCAAAAGCAUAUGGCUCAGCUACCUGUGGUUUCAGGGAGGACAAACAUGUAGCCUCCUAGGCAGCAGUCACGGGGAUGGGAGGCAAUGGGACCUCAUAUCAUGCCUCUUGUGGGAGAUGCAGGGGGUACAGUGGAGAGGUGCUGCAGCUCUGGAGAUGUCAAGCAUAUUGGCUUACCAAAGCAAAUAAAGCUGAAGCAUGCAGCAAUGCAUACACCACUUUUUAAAAUUAAAACCUGCAACUGUCCCAGGGAUAGUGACAUGGGCUGUCUUUAGACUGCAGCACUGCCCUUAGGUUAGCUGCAAGUGUGUAGAUACGGAGAUGCAGUUUGGAUUCUACGAACUGCCUGAUAAUCUCCAGUACUUGGAGACAAAGAUUUUUGGGUUGGCUUUUAUCCUGCUGAAAUGCAGGGCAAAGAUCUGAUCCUGAAAUUUAGACAAUCAUCACAGCUAUAAAUCAGAAAAACCUGGGUUCAAAUUCUGCUUGUGAUAUUUAUUAACCCUGUGGUUUUGACUAGAUAACCCACAUUCUUUAUAAACCUUAGUUUCCUUGUCUUUAGAAUGAGGGUCAUAAUGCCGCUUUCGCAGGACUUUUGGAGGAAUUAAAUGGUAUUCAGUUGGUGCAAAAGUAACUGCGGCUUUUGAACAGCAUGUGCAUACAGUGUGCAGUACAGUAUUUGCGCUAAGUCAACUCUCGAUAAACAUUUGCUGGACAGCAAAUGUGCUGAUGCUGAUGAGAUUAUCAACAUUUACACUCUGAAUGCUAAAAUGUGUUAGCUCCAUGUCUAUAAUGCACAGGGUGCUUGCAGGUAUGAGACCAUGGGCCACCAGUGCCAGAUCUUUGGAAGCUCUGGUGGAAGAACCGGUUCUUUCUUUAGAUAUCAUGACUUCUAGCUUCCUAUCUUAAGGAGGCUUCAGGAAAACUGUGAAACCAGCUAUAAGGUACUUCAGAAGAGGGCCAAAAAUGUCAUUAAAAAGAUGGGAAAAAUGAUUUGUAGGGAUACAUGAAUGGCCUCAAACAGAGAAGUAUGAGAUUCUUCAUUUAAUUCUAGUCUGUGGAAGCUUGGGUGAGGAGACUACUAACCAGAUGUGGUCCUAUUUUCAUUGCAGCUAAUACAAAACCAAAUGGGCUAAGGAUAAAGUUGUAUUCUUAGAUAUAAGAACUUGUUGACAGGAAGGGAUAUGAGGUAACUGAACAUGUAUAAAACAUCUUCACCUGGAAAUAUGUACAAUGAACCAAAGAUAACAGGCCAUAGUUCCGACAAGUUUUUCAAAAGUAACGAGCCGCAAAAUGCUGUUCUCGCACAAUAUUCACAGUGGCUUCAUUCAAAUUCACCAAAUAUAUUCAGAGUUUUCCCACUUUUCCCAUCACAAUAGUGAUGCUUUUCCAUAAAACAGAAUAAGAUAAAACAAAAAAACAAAAAGUCAGAAUGUGAAGAGAAGAGAAAGUCUAGGGAAAUUCAGCUGUAAGCCCUCUCCCUCAUUUCCUUUAUGGCAUGAGCUACAUCUGGGUUUUGCUAGUCUGCAUUCACCAGACUUUACCCAGCUCAUUGGAGUCGUGGUUGUAGUUGGGGAGUGUCAGGGAUAGGAAUGGAAAGGUGAGGAACCUGCCUGGGCAACAUAGUGAGACCCCAUCUCAACCAAAAAAUUUAAAAAAUUAGCCAAGCACGGUGGUGUGUGCCUGUAGUCCUAGCUACCUGGGAGGCUGAGGUGGGAGGAUGGCUUGAGCCCAGCAGGUUACAGUGAGCUAUGAUUGCAGUGCCACUGCACUCCACCCUGGGCGACAGAAUGAAAUCCCAUCUCACUGAUAUUUCAUAUAUUGACAUUUUAUCCUCAAUAUAGGAAAAAUGAAAAAGAAAGAAGUCUCACAGCCUCUGCUCUGAACUCUAAAAUGAGCCCUGUCUUUUCCAUGUCUGCCACGCACCUGGAGCUUGCUUCCCUCGUAUUUAACUUUUCUGCCUUAGAUCUCCCAGGGCCCUGGCUACGUGAAAAAGUACUUCUGUGAUCAUUCUCUGACUCCCAGAACAUAGGUAUUUCUCCUUUAUCUGGACUAGCCCAAACCCUUGAGUAUUCUGAGUUAUUCAAACUUCAGGUCAACUUUUUCCUACCCCUUUUAUAUAAGGAUCUCAAUCUUUUUUGAAUUUCUCCUAACUCAUCUAUACUUUUAUCCUCAUACUGAAUAAUUUCUUGUGUUCUGAAACCAAUCUGUCAUGUAAAUGACCUCAAGGAGAAGGGGUCAUAUUAGAUCACAUACUAGCUAGUUUUGGGAUCUUCUCAUUUUGUUUUUUUAAACCACUUAGAAGAUUAGCAAAGGGAAGUCCAAAAAAAGAAGAAGAGAAAUGAAGGCCUAAUUAGUGACAUCCAGAGGUGACAGAAUAAAACUAAAGAGACUAUACUUUCAAGUGUAAAGGUACUGGGAAGGGAAAUGUUUAUUUCUUUAUUCAAUAUUUAAUGAGUACCUACUAUGUCCAGGCCCUGUUUAAGCUGCUGGGGAGACAAAGCUACUUCCGGUCCUUAAAGAACUAAUAGUCUACACAGCGUUUCUCAAGCUUGGUAACACUGAUAUUUUGGGCAGGAUAAUUCACGUUGUUUGGCAUGGUAAACUGUCCUGUGUAGCUGCAGGAUGUUUAGCAGCAUCCUUGGCCUACACCCACUAGAUGCCAGUAGGCAUCCCACAUCUCCUUCCCAGUUGUGACAACAAAAAAUAUCUCCAGAUAAUGGCAAGUGUCCCCUGGGGGACAAAAGUGUACCCCAGUUGACAACCACUAGUGUAGGAAAAGCAGAUCAUUUAUAUAAACACACUGUGACAAGUAUUAUUAUCAAAACUUUGCAAGUUAGAGAAGAGGACUCCUUAAUUCUGGGGGAAAGAGAGCAGAUGCUACAGAAGGUUUCACAGAAUAAAUGACAUUUUAUGCUUAAUAUAUGAAAAAUGUUUUGCAGUAGGCCAAGCAGACAAGAAGAGGAAAAGUUAGGAACACAUGGAAGGAACAGGGAAAUAACAGGUAGAGAAAGACCAUUCGAAGGCAGGUACAGGAAGAUGAGCAAAGGCCUGGGGGUAAAAGACCACAGAAUAUUCAGGCAAUGAUGGACAUUUACAUGGUGGAAAAUGAAAAAUAAGACUGAAACCAGAUCAUGCCAAGUAAGAAAGGAGGUGGAAUUUUAAUAUAAAGAAAUAAAUGCAUAUUUUAAACAGAG
Long non-coding RNA from Gorilla gorilla gorilla (western lowland gorilla), 4278 nucleotides. RefSeq lists it as uncharacterized. Lineage: Eukaryota; Metazoa; Chordata; Mammalia; Primates; Hominidae. The transcript is spliced from 3 exons. The record is from RefSeq and is a predicted model, not a curated record.